RNAcentral lists this ribosomal RNA (497 nucleotides) under uncultured bacterium. RNAcentral's name for it is "partial 16S ribosomal RNA". It matches the Rfam family "Bacterial small subunit ribosomal RNA", at positions 28 to 507 of the family's 1533-position model. The record is from RNAcentral.
GAUGAACGCUGGCGGCGUGCCUAAUACAUGCAAGUCGAGCGAACGGACGAGAAGCUUGCUUCUCUGACGUUAGCGGCGGACGGGUGAGUAACACGUGGAUAACCUACCUAUAAGACUGGGAUAACUUCGGGAAACCGGAGCUAAUACCGGAUAAUAUAUUGAACCGCAUGGUUCAAUAGUGAAAGACGGUCUUGCUGUCACUUAUAGAUGGAUCCGCGCUGCAUUAGCUAGUUGGUAAGGUAACGGCUUACCAAGGCAACGAUGCAUAGCCGACCUGAGAGGGUGAUCGGCCACACUGGAACUGAGACACGGUCCAGACUCCUACGGGAGGCAGCAGUAGGGAAUCUUCCGCAAUGGGCGAAAGCCUGACGGAGCAACGCCGCGUGAGUGAUGAAGGUCUUCGGAUCGUAAAACUCUGUUAUUAGGGAAGAACAUAUGUGUAAGUAACUAUGCACGUCUUGACGGUACCUAAUCAGAAAGCCACGGCUAACUACGUG